RNAcentral lists this long non-coding RNA (333 nucleotides) under Salmo salar (Atlantic salmon). Its description in RNAcentral is "lncRNA (ENSSSAG00000103023.1)". The record is from RNAcentral. Lineage: Eukaryota; Metazoa; Chordata; Actinopteri; Salmoniformes; Salmonidae.
CUAUAUAGGGAAUAGGGCCCUGGUCUAUAUGGGAAUAGGGCCCUGGUCUAAAGUAGUGUCCUAUAUAUAGGGAAUAGGGCCCUGGUCUAUAUAGGGAAUAGGGCCCUGGUCUAAAGUAGUGUUCUCUAUAUAGGGAAUAGGGCUCUGGUCUAUAUAGGGAAUAGGGCCCUGGUCUAAAGUAGUGUCCUCUAUAUAGGGAAUAGGGCCCUGGUCUAUAUAGGGAAUAGGGCCCUGGUCUAAAGUAGUGGCCCUGGUCUAUAUAGGGAAUAGGGCCCUGGUCUAAAGUAGUGUCCUAUAUAGGGAAUAGGGCCCUGGUCUAAAGUAGUGUUCUCU